UGGGGAAUAUUGCACAAUGGAGGGAACUCUGAUGCAGCGACGCCGCGUGAACGAAGAAGGCUUUCGAGUCGUAAAGUUCUUUUAUAUGGGAAGAUAAUGACGGUACCAUAAGAAAAAGCCCCGGCUAACUACGUGCCAGCAGCCGCGUUAAUACGUAGGGGGCUAGCGUUGUCCGGAUUCACUGGGCGUAAAGGGUUCGCAGGCGGUAAUUCAAGUCAGGUGUAAAAGGCAGUAGCUUAACUACUGUAAGCAUUUGAAACUGCAUAUCUUCAUAAGAGUAGAGGAAAGUGGAAUUUUUAGUGUAGCGGUGAAAUACGUAGAUAUUAAAAAGAAUAACGGUGGUGAAGACGACUUACUGCGCUCAUGCUGACGCUGAGGAACGAAAGAGUGGGUAGUAAACAGG
This 403-nucleotide ribosomal RNA is filed under the name bacterium. RNAcentral describes it as "partial 16S ribosomal RNA". It matches the Rfam family "Bacterial small subunit ribosomal RNA", at positions 355 to 776 of the family's 1533-position model. The record is from RNAcentral.